RNAcentral lists this transfer RNA (73 nucleotides) under bacterium. Its description in RNAcentral is "tRNA-Thr". It matches the Rfam family "tRNA". From Rfam's summary of the family: Transfer RNA (tRNA) molecules are approximately 80 nucleotides in length. RNAcentral also lists the same sequence under 2 other names. The record is from RNAcentral.
GCCGGAGUAGCUCAGUCGGCAGAGCGGCUCACUCGUAAUGAGCAGGUCAGGGGUUCGAUUCCCCUCUCCGGCU